GCCAGAAUAGCUCAGCGGUAGAGCAAGAGACUGAAAAUCUCUGUGUCGUUUGUUCGAUUCAAACUUUUGGCA
This 72-nucleotide transfer RNA is filed under the name Pectinodesmus pectinatus. RNAcentral describes it as "tRNA-Phe". It matches the Rfam family "tRNA". Rfam says of the family: Transfer RNA (tRNA) molecules are approximately 80 nucleotides in length. The record is from RNAcentral. Lineage: Eukaryota; Viridiplantae; Chlorophyta; Chlorophyceae; Sphaeropleales; Scenedesmaceae.